This 490-nucleotide ribosomal RNA is filed under the name uncultured bacterium. RNAcentral's name for it is "partial 16S ribosomal RNA". It matches the Rfam family "Bacterial small subunit ribosomal RNA", at positions 30 to 507 of the family's 1533-position model. The record is from RNAcentral.
AUUGAACGCUGGCGGCAUGCUUUACACAUGCAAGUCGGACGGCAGCACAGAGGAGCUUGCUUCUUGGGUGGCGAGUGGCGAACGGGUGAGUAACGCAUCGGAACGUACCGAGUAAUGGGGGAUAACUGUCCGAAAGGACAGCUAAUACCGCAUACGCCCUGAUGGGGAAAGCGGGGGAUCUUAGGACCUCGCGUUAUUCGAGCGGCCGAUGUCUGAUUAGCUGGUUGGCGGGGUAAAGGCCCACCAAGGCGACGAUCAGUAGCGGGUCUGAGAGGAUGAUCCGCCACACUGGGACUGAGACACGGCCCAGACUCCUACGGGAGGCAGCAGUGGGGAAUUUUGGACAAUGGGCGCAAGCCUGAUCCAGCCAUGCCGCGUGUCUGAAGAAGGCCUUCGGGUUGUAAAGGACUUUUGUCAGGGAAGAAAAGGGGCAUGUUAAUACCGUGCUCUGAUGACGGUACCUGAAGAAUAAGCACCGGCUAACUACGUG